UGAUCUUCUAUACACUUUUUCUGCUGUCACGUUCAGGAACAAGCCACAACUUUGUCUCGGCUAAUAGAGCAGGCUGCAGGUUCACUGUGAAGAUGAAGUUUUGGAAUUGCUAUACUUCUUUCAACCAGCAGAUGUCAGUACUGUAAAACAUUGCCUUUAACACUUCUGCACCAGUGAUAAUGACAGACAUGACUCCCUCCCUUAGGUGCGGUGCUCAAUGUGAUCAUCACGGGGCCAAGCGAGGUCACUGUAGGGGUUGCAGCUGACUUCCGCUGCUCAGCCCAAUGCAGUAUCCCCUGCUCUUACAGAUGGCUUGUACAGGGGAAGACGGUAGAUGGCCCAUCACUGGCAGUCACCCCUACCAGCGGGGGGGACAGCAUAGAAAUCCAGUGCACAGCCACAGACCCUCAAACUAGCAAAUCAUCUGCCAGAAUGAAACAGGUGAAAGUGAAAAAUCCAUAUGAAGUGAUUCCCAUGGCAGAUGAACCCAAGGAAAAUGAGGCCUUCAAUCUGACUUGUUCAGGCCCCAGUGAACUACUUCAGGUGUUCUGGUACAGAAACAAUAAGCCUGUGACCCUUGACAGGUGGAUGAGCCUCUCGAGAAAGAACGCCACAUUGUCCUUCAGCAAACUGUUGGAAUCUCAUAGCGGAUAUUACCUGUGCCAGGCCUCCAUUGGCACUGUUACAAUUCAAAGUACUGAAUAUUUACUCACAUUUGAUUCCAUAAUAUUGAUGAUCAUUGGGCCAGAUACAGUGGAGGUUGGGGAACCAGCUGUGUUUAAAUGUCUAGUGAACUGUUCCUUUGGCUGUUCCAUCUUCUGGACCUACAAAAACGGGUUUCCUAGUGGCACUUAUCUGCAGAGAGGUACCACCAUCAACUGGACCCCAUCAAUACCAAACAUCACACAGAACUUUACAUGUGUCGCGGAAAAACCUGAAUCUCGCCAGUCAGCCAGUGCCCACAAAUCUGUGAGGAUCACAGACAGAAAACCCACAAAUCUGCCAAAGUCUGGGGCUGACGAACUGAUAUCAAAAAUGCCAAAGGGGGUGGCCAUUGCUGUGUGGCUGUCCUUCAUUUUGAGCUUCUGAAGGGGGCGCUCUAAAGACAGAAAACUUCACUUUUCCCCAGAAGGUCUCUUGAAAACGCAGUCCAGGUUCAACAUCAAUCACAGUCACAUGCAUCAGGAACUUAAGUAAUCUGGCCCUGGUCAAACAAGGCUUAGUCAGUUACUGUACCCACUCUCCACAAGUCUGCUUUCCACCUGUCCGUGGCACUCUCUGAAGGGGGUGUCAAUAUCCGGUUCUGGGCUCCUUGAAGAUGCAUGAACUGGAGGUCUGGGAGGAAACGUGUACAAGAUUGUUUUCCUUAAUUGUACUAAACCAGUUCACUUUCCCCUUGAAUGAUCAUGGAGGCAAUAGUUUCUGUUUGCUUCUGCAAUUUUAGGUUGCAGAACUGUAUAAUGUUGAAUUACUUUGAUAUAGCUUUCUUGAACCUUUAAUAUAAAAUAAAAAGGACAAAAAAUACAAUGUGUUCAGAUAUAAUUCCUUUGAUUCUGAUUUCCUGUAGGUACUACAGCAUGUUAUAAUUUUUUGUGUGCUGUGGACAGAGUUCUCUAAAUUAGGAACAUCGGCAGUUAUUUUACAACUGGGAGCAAAGCAAUAUCAUAUGUUUUCUCAUUGUAACGUCUGCAAUGGAAUAAACAGUGUGACUCAAGCUU
This is a non-coding RNA of Paramormyrops kingsleyae, 1718 nucleotides long. Lineage: Eukaryota; Metazoa; Chordata; Actinopteri; Osteoglossiformes; Mormyridae. The record is from RefSeq and is a predicted model, not a curated record.